GGUUGAGUAACAUAAUGGUAAUGUAUGAGAUUGCAAAUCUUAUAAUGGCAGUUCGAUUCUGCCCUUAACCU
Non-coding RNA from Prototheca wickerhamii, 71 nucleotides. The record is from the annotation of a GenBank genome assembly. Lineage: Eukaryota; Viridiplantae; Chlorophyta; Trebouxiophyceae; Chlorellales; Chlorellaceae.